This 791-nucleotide ribosomal RNA is filed under the name uncultured archaeon. RNAcentral's name for it is "bacterial SSU rRNA". It matches the Rfam family "Archaeal small subunit ribosomal RNA", at positions 85 to 879 of the family's 1478-position model. The record is from RNAcentral.
ACGGCUCAGUAACACGUAGUCAACAUGCCCAGGGGACGUGGAUAACCUCGGGAAACUGAGGAUAAACCGCGAUAAGUCACUACUUCUGGAAUGGGUAAUGACUCAAAUCUAUAUGGCCCCUGGAUUGGACUGCGGCCGAUCAGGCUGUUGGUGAGGUAAUGGCCCACCAAACCUGUAACCGGUACGGGCUCUGAGAGGAGGAGCCCGGAGAUGGGCACUGAGACAAGGGCCCAGGCCCUAUGGGGCGCAGCAGGCGCGAAACCUCUGCAAUAGGCGAAAGCUUGACAGGGUUACUCUGAGUGAUUUCCGUUAAGGAAAUCUUUUGGCACCUCUAAAAAUGGUGCAGAAUAAGGGGUGGGCAAGUCUGGUGUCAGCCGCCGCGGUAAUACCAGCACCCCGAGUGGUCGGGACGUUUAUUGGGCCUAAAGCAUCCGUAGCCGGUUCUACAAGUCUUCCGUUAAAUCCAACUGCUUAACAGGUGGGCUGCGGAAGAUACUAUAGAGCUAGGAGGCGGGAGAGGCAAGCGGUACUCGAUGGGUAGGGGUAAAAUCCGUUGAUCCAUUGAAGACCACCAGUGGCGAAGGCGGCUUGCCAGAACGCGCUCGACGGUGAGGGAUGAAAGCUGGGGGAGCAAACCGGAUUAGAUACCCGGGUAGUCCCAGCUGUAAACGAUGCAGACUCGGUGAUGAGUUGGCUAUAUGCCAACUCAGUGCCGCAGGGAAGCCGUUAAGUUUGCCGCCUGGGGAGUACGGUCGCAAGACUGAAACUUAAGGGAAUUGGCGGGGGAGCAC